AUGAGCCUUCUCCUAGCCUUGGAACUGCUGCUCUUCCUGCUUGCCUUGCCACGCCUUUCUUUUACCUCAAAUUCCACACAUUCGUCGCUGGAUCAGCAGGCAGAGGCGCUUCUCCAAUGGAAAUCUAACCUAAGCAGUCAUUGGUCCUAUGCUCUCCACUCAUGGACAAAGGAAACCAGCCCGUGUGACUGGAUCAGCAUUACCUGCAGCAACGCCAUGCUGCCUCGUGGCGGUGACCACGGUGAUGCUGCCCUAGUUGUGUCCAACAUUUCGCUUGUGGAGGAUGGCCUUUUUGGCAGGUUGGACAGGCUUCACUUUUCAGACUUGCCCCAUCUUGUCUUUCUGAACCUCAGUGACAACUAUUUCUCGGGCUCAAUCCCAUCAAGCAUUGGUGCUCUUGCCGAGCUCACUCACUUGGAUCUUUCCGCCAAUAACCUGGACGGAUCUAUCCCAGCAUCCCUAGACUUGCCCCAUCGUGUGUAUCUGGACCUCAGUUACAACGACCUGAACGGAUCUAUCUCAACAUCCCUAGAUAAAUCAUUGGCGCUCUUGCAAAGCUCUCUUUUGGAUCUGUCCACCAACAAUCUUGAUGGAUCCAUCCCACCUUUCGAAGACUUGUCACAUCUUAUCUAUCUGAACCUCAGCAACAACUAUCUAUGGGGUUCAAUCCCAUCAAGCAUUGUUGCUCUUGCUGAGCUCACACACCUGGAUCUAUCCAACAAUGGCCUGAAUGGAUCUAUCCCAACAUCCCUUGAUUUGCCUCAUCUUCUAUAUCUGAACCUAAGUUACAAUGACCUGAACGGAUCUAUCCCAACAUCCCUAGCCUGUCUAGCAAGGCUGGAACUUGGAUCCAAUCAGCUUAACGGCAUGUUACCACCACAAUUAGGAUCUCUUAUAAAUCUAUCACAUCUGGAUCUUUCCAACAACCAGAUCACGGGUUCCAUUGUAAGCAUAACCAAUGUAACAAGUUUAGAACUCUUGGAUCUUUCCAACAACCUCAUAAAUGGUUCCAUCCCUUCGACCUUCUCGAAAUUGAUCUAUCUUACAACACUGUCACUUGAGUCCAAUCAGCGUAAUGGUCUAUUACCACCAGAGUUAAGAUCUCUUGUUCUACUCACAGAUCUGGACCUAAGUAGCAACCAGUUUCUAGGAAGCAUUCCACCUCAGAUAGGACAUUGCCACCUUUUGUCAUCGUUACUGAUAUCAGACAACUUAUUGACAGGAGAAAUACCACAAGAAUGUGGUUACCUCACCAACCUAUAUGAGCUGGACUUGAGUAGAAACAAUUUAAGUGGCACCAUCCCAGGGACUUUUUCUAAUCUUUCCCAACUGUAUAGGCUGAAUUUAUCAUAUAAUAGUUUGGUUGGCAGAGUUCCGUUACUUCCAUAUGCAUCUGGCCCUGGAGCCUUUAUCUCACUUGGCAAUAAUAUGGAUUUAUGUGGUGAACACUUUUAUGGUAUAAAACCAUGUGAAGUACCGAAGCUUGAAACACCAAGUGAAAUACCAAAGCUUGAAACACCAAGUGAAAUACCAAAGCUUGACAGAGAACGACAAAGCAGUAAACAUCCAAAUAAGAUCCUACUUGUAAUUAUUUUUGCUCCCUUUUUAUGUGUUACCCUUGUAAUAGCAAGCAUUGUGAUUAUUUGUCGGAGAAGAAAACUCGUAAAAAUUGCUACCAAAAGCAAGUCCGGAGAUAUACUUUCCAUAUGGAAUUUCGACGGAAAGAUCGCAUUCAAAGACAUACUCACCGCAACAGAAAAUUUCGAUGAGAAAUAUUGCAUCGGCAUUGGAGGCUACGGAUCAGUCUUCAGAGUUGAGCUUGAAGGGGGGAAGAUUUUUGCGGUCAAGCUCCUCCGCUCGAUGGAAGAAUACAGCGAUGAGGGGACAUUUCAUGCCGAGGUUGAAGUACUGGCAAAAAUAAGGCACCGAUGCAUCGUCAAGCUGUAUGGAUUCUGUUCCCACUCCCGGUGCAAAUUUCUCAUGUAUGAUCUUAUCGAGAGGGGAAGCUUAUCGUCUAUUCUGCAUGAGCAAGAGCUAGCGAUGGACAUAACUUAUGUCUCAGACUUUGGCAUGGCGAGGAAGCUGAAGCAUGGUUACUCCAGCUGGAGCACUACCUUUGCAGGGACAUGUGGCUACAUAGCCCCAGAGCAGCCGGAAAAGCUCAAAGACAUCCUGGAUCAACACAUCGCAGCACCGUCAACCAUUGAUGAGGAGAAGGAUGCCAUUUUGGUUGCCUUGGUGGCCUUUGCUUGCCUGCAAGUCUCUCCAAAAGCUCGGCCAACAAUGCAGCAGUUUCUCCAAACUCGACAUGGCUCAACAGAACCAAUCAGCCAGGCCUGUUCGUCCUGUUCGACGGGGGGCUCCGCCGCGUCGAACAUGCUACGAGCAGCUGCAUUGCUUAUGAUGAGCACAUUUAUCAUCCAAAUUUUCUCGAUCAUGCCAUAUAACCUGUCCAACCACACGAAGAAACGCCAGUUGUUCACCAAACAUACUAAAUUCAGCAACUUGAUUCUGAGCAUUAAAGAACAGAGAAACAACCUUCUUGUCCUUGUCAUUCCACUGAAUAUUUGGCCGGGUUCAGAGAUGUCCAAGACUGCUGCAACAUCAACCUUUAGCAUCGACAUUGUAGACCUUCAGCCAGAGGGAGCCUCAUCAUCCCUUGGUGCUAGCCGGAGCAGAGUUGAGCUUCUCUGUGACAUGCCCUGCGCUGCCAUGGUCGGGAACAGAGACGAAGAGGCAUCCCAGCUACUAGACUUCAGCUUGUAUGGGCAACCCAUGCAACGAGGUAGAUAUGAACUGGGAUACGCCGCACCAAAACCUUUUCAAAACUGGUAG
This 2835-nucleotide ribosomal RNA is filed under the name Triticum aestivum (bread wheat). RNAcentral describes it as "partial small subunit ribosomal RNA". Lineage: Eukaryota; Viridiplantae; Streptophyta; Magnoliopsida; Poales; Poaceae. The record is from RNAcentral.